ACGGGUGAGUAACACGUUGGUGACCUGCCCCGAACUGGGGGAUAACACCGCGAAAGCGGCGCUAAUACCCCGGAUGUUUGGACUAUUAGAGGGUACAGACUAAAGUUUUCGGACGGUUCGGGAGGGGCCUGCGGGCUAUCAGCUAGUUGGUGAGGUAAUGGCUCACCAAGGCGCAGACGGCUAGGGGGCGUGAGAGCGUGACCCCCCCCAAGGGAACUGAGAGACGGUCCCUACUCCUACGGGAGGCAGCAGUGAGGAAUAUUGAGCAAUGGGCGCAAGCCUGACUCAGCAACGCCGCGUGGACGAUGACGGCCUUCGGGUUGUAAAGUCCUUUUCUGAGGGACGAUGAUGACGGUACCUCAGGAACAAGUCCCGGCUAACUACGUGCCAGCAGCCGCGGUAAAACGUAGGGGGCGAGCGUUAUCCGGAUUUACUGGGCGUAAAGCGCAUGUAGGCGGUGGGAUAAGUCAGCCGUGAAAGCUCCCGGCUUAACUGGGAGAGGUCGGUUGAAACUGUUCGACUGGAGGUUGGAAGAGGAGAGUGGAAUUCCCGGUGUAGUGGUGGAAUGCGUAGA
RNAcentral lists this ribosomal RNA (574 nucleotides) under uncultured bacterium. RNAcentral describes it as "bacterial SSU rRNA". It matches the Rfam family "Bacterial small subunit ribosomal RNA", at positions 102 to 694 of the family's 1533-position model. The record is from RNAcentral.